This 490-nucleotide ribosomal RNA is filed under the name uncultured bacterium. RNAcentral's name for it is "partial 16S ribosomal RNA". It matches the Rfam family "Bacterial small subunit ribosomal RNA", at positions 30 to 507 of the family's 1533-position model. The record is from RNAcentral.
AUUGAACGCUGGCGGCAGGCCUAACACAUGCAAGUCGAACGGUAACAGGAAGCAGCUUGCUGCUUUGCUGACGAGUGGCGGACGGGUGAGUAAUGUCUGGGAAACUGCCUGAUGGAGGGGGAUAACUACUGGAAACGGUAGCUAAUACCGCAUAACGUCGCAAGACCAAAGAGGGGGACCUUAGGGCCUCUUGCCAUCGGAUGUGCCCAGAUGGGAUUAGCUAGUAGGUGGGGUAACGGCUCAACUAGGCGACGAUCCCUAGCUGGUCUGAGAGGAUGACCAGCCACACUGGAACUGAGGCACGGUCCAGACUCCUAAGGGAGGCAGCAGUGGGGAAUAUUGCACAAUGGGCGCAAGCCUGAUGCAGCAAUGCCGCGUGUAUGAAGAAGGCCUUCGGGUUGUAAAGUACUUUCAGCGGGGAGGAAGGGAGUAAAGUUAAUACCUGUGCUCAUUGACGGUACCCGCAGAAGAAGCACCGGCUAACUCCGUG